This 467-nucleotide ribosomal RNA is filed under the name uncultured Comamonadaceae bacterium. Its description in RNAcentral is "bacterial SSU rRNA". It matches the Rfam family "Bacterial small subunit ribosomal RNA", at positions 337 to 796 of the family's 1533-position model. Lineage: Bacteria; Pseudomonadati; Pseudomonadota; Betaproteobacteria; Burkholderiales; Comamonadaceae. The record is from RNAcentral.
CCCUACGGGGGGCUGCAGUGGGGAAUUUUGGACAAUGGGCGAAAGCCUGAUCCAGCCAUGCCGCGUGCAGGAUGAAGGCCUUCGGGUUGUAAACUGCUUUUGUACGGAACGAAAAGACUCUGGUUAAUACCUGGGGUCCAUGACGGUACCGUAAGAAUAAGCACCGGCUAACUACGUGCCAGCAGCCGCGGUAAUACGUAGGGUGCAAGCGUUAAUCGGAAUUACUGGGCGUAAAGCGUGCGCAGGCGGUUAUAUAAGACAGAUGUGAAAUCCCCGGGCUCAACCUGGGAACUGCAUUUGUGACUGUAUAGCUAGAGUACGGUAGAGGGGGAUGGAAUUCCGCGUGUAGCAGUGAAAUGCGUAGAUAUGCGGAGGAACACCGAUGGCGAAGGCAAUCCCCUGGACCUGUACUGACGCUCAUGCACGAAAGCGUGGGGAGCAAACAGGAUUAGAUACCCUAGUAGUCA